GAAGAAGUCUGCAACAUAGAGCACUUCAAUUUUUGAAAUUCGUCAUCAGUCACAAUUAUUUCAAAACGGCAAGAUAUGUUGAGCAAAAUUCCCCCAAAUAUAAAUAUCGAGUAACCCGCAUGAGGCUUUUUAAACAUGCACAAAGCACUUAACACAAAAUCUGCUACAAGUGCUCCAAUAAUACCUUCACCCAGGCAGCCAGUCCCCCGCACAGGGGAUCUGCAAGCCCCUUCACUGUUAGAAGGCGAAAGGCACGGAAAACAAAGAUUUCAACCAAAUAUGGUUUGCCUCUCGUCGAGUUUUCAGCAAGACCCUGUAAAAAUAAGUUCACAAAAAACCAGCCAAGCAUUACUUUUCUCCCAAAGUGCUUCUUGGAUUAUAAAACAGCUUUGAAAGUUCAGCCUGACAAAACAAAUAUGGUACUAGGAGAGCCCUGGAAGGCAACCACAAAAAGUCUCAUUUAAAUUCCUGGAAAGCAGGGCUUCCCCAAAUACAGCUCUAGCUUUGGAAGGCACCACUUGCUGCGAGCCACAAGUUUAACUUCGCUCCGUGCCCCAGCGCCGUCAAAUCCGAAAGAGACGGAUAUAGACGCUGCUUAUCCAAAAGAAUGCAUCGCGGAUCUUCUCUGCACGGUGAAAAGUACAACUUAAAAAGCAAGAGUUUCCCUCGUGCGAAUGCGUAGGAAUGAACACCGGGGACGUGGGAUGCGAAGGAUCCCUUCUGUCCCUAAACAUCACAGCUACAGCGAACCGGAGAUCAAGGGAACACACUUUAGGCUUUAAGAAGUGCAGUUCUGCAUGGCGGUGGGGUCGAGGAAGGCAGUUAAAAGCCCCGAUGCCCUCCCAAAGCCAAAUUAAAUAGAAUAAAAGAUCGCCGUUGUAGUGACCGAACGGCGGGAGCACAACGGCGUCCACCGGUCCCCAAAGCGCAAGCCCUGGGUUCGCUCACCCUCCCGAAGAACGCCUUGCCUCUCGCCCAAGCCCUCGGCGUCCGCCCGUCCGCAAGCCCGGGUGCCGCUCGCCAGCCCAAGUCCCUGCGGAGCGGCGCCCCGGCUGCAGCGGCCCGAGGCCCCCCGCCGCCCGCCGCCCGCCGCCCGAGCAGCGCGGCCGCCGGACCCACCUUCCCGCGAGGCGCGGCGUCCGACCCCGGGACUCGGCGCUGCCCGGGCGCGCGGCGCUGGAGGCGGAGGCGGGGGCGGGGGCGGGGGCGUGCCUGUCACGCCGACUCCCCGGCAGCCGCUCGGGCGCGCGCGCCACGCGCUCCCACCGCCUUGGCUGCCCGCGGAGCCAGGACCCGGGGCCGGGGCGCCCGACGCGCGCCGCGCAACUUGGGGGCUGCGGGGGCCGAGCGCGGCUCAGAGCCUCUGCGCGCGGCCGCCCCCGCCCCGCCCCGCCCCGCCCCGCGCAGCCACCUCCCCGCGCCGCCUCCCGAGCCCCCGGCGGCCCGCGCCCGCGUCCCGGGAGGCCUGCGGGAUCGCCUCCCCCGGGCCGGAGCCUCGGCGCCGGGCGGCAGCUGCAGGCGCGGCGGGGGGCUCGGCCUCGGGGCGGCGCGGCGCUGCGCUCAGCUCCGCGCCGCGCGCCUCAUUGUUCCCGGCAGCGGCGGCGGCGGCGGCGGCGCGGGCGGCGGGGGGAGCGGCGGCCCGGAGCCCCGGGGAGAGGCGGCGGCUCCCGGCCCCCCGGCCCCCGGCCCCGCGGCCCCCGCGCCCAGCUCCCGCCGCGCCCCGCCCCCGGGCCCCGCGCCUCCCCUGUGCGCGCCCCGGGCCCUCCUCCCUCCGCCGGCGCCUCGGUCCUCCGCCUUCCCGGCCUUGGCUCACCUAGCGGCCGGGCGCCGGGCGCUGGGAAGUUGCACAGUCCGCUCCCCGCGCCCCCGACCCGCCGGGCGGGGUGCACGGCGGGGCGCUCCCCGGCUCGGCGCGGAUCCGUGCCCCCGGCGGAGAGCGACUGCAGACUCGGGCGGCGUGGGGCGCGCGGGCGGCGCGGCUGCCUAAAAAGGCUUGCCUCUCCCGGCCGUCGCCUGCAGCCAGCCCUCGCCCCUCCGAGGGUGACCUGCACCGGCCCCGCGCGGGGCAGCCGGCGGGCACCGGGGGCGCGGGGGCGGCAGGGAUGCAGGAGUGCGGACGCGCGGCGAGCGGCGGGCAGAGGAGUCCGGGCGCCCGGCUCCGCGGAAGUCUUGGAUAUUGCUGUAUGAAGAGGAGAUGCUCAGACCUUUUCCAUCUGCCUUGCAGUCAUGAGGAGACAACUAUUGUAAAUGGUAUUGUGUUUCUAAUUUUCAAUUUCAAUAAUUUAUUGUUGGUAUAUAAACAAUUGACUUUUGUAUAUUAACUUCAUAUCUUGAAAUUUUUCUAUAAUCACUUAUUAGUUCCAGGAGUUUUUUUUGUUGGUUCUUGGGGAUUUUACAAAAACAAUCAUGUUGUCUGUCCACAAAGCUUAUUUAUUCCUUCUCAAUCUGUGUAUCUUUUCUUUUUUUUAGCUGAUUGCAUUAGCUAGGACUUUCAGUAGGAAGUGGUAGAAAGGGAUAUCCUUACCUCACUCCUGAUCUUUAGGGGAAAGUUUCUCACCAC
Molecule: long non-coding RNA, 2560 nt
Filed under: Canis lupus familiaris (dog)
Lineage: Eukaryota; Metazoa; Chordata; Mammalia; Carnivora; Canidae
Description: lncRNA (ENSCAFG00030022313.1)
Source: RNAcentral